This 61-nucleotide transfer RNA is filed under the name Eutreptiella gymnastica. The record is from RNAcentral. Lineage: Eukaryota; Euglenozoa; Euglenophyceae; Eutreptiales; Eutreptiaceae.
GUACUCCAUUGGUUAGAGCACUGGUCUUGCAGAUGAGUGGUGCCGGCUUGAAUCCCCCCUU